Molecule: ribosomal RNA, 461 nt
Filed under: uncultured bacterium
Lineage: Bacteria
Description: bacterial SSU rRNA
Rfam family: Bacterial small subunit ribosomal RNA
Source: RNAcentral
UGAACGCUGGCGGCGUGCUUAACACAUGCAAGUCGAACGAACCUUCGGGUUAGUGGCGGACGGGUGAGUAACGCGUGGGAAUCUGCCCUCAGGAGGGGGAUAACGGCCGGAAACGGCCGCUAAUACCCCAUAUGCCGAGAGGUGAAACGAAUUUCGCCUGAGGAUGAGCCCGCGUCUGAUUAGCUAGUUGGUGAGGUAAUGGCUCACCAAGGCAUCGAUCAGUAGCUGGUCUGAGAGGAUGAUCAGCCACACUGGGACUGAGACACGGCCCAGACUCCUACGGGAGGCAGCAGUGGGGAAUUUUCCGCAAUGGGCGCAAGCCUGACGGAGCAACGCCGCGUGAGGGAUGAAGGCCUCUGGGCUGUAAACCUCUUUUCUCAAGGAAGAAGAUCUGACGGUACUUGAGGAAUAAGCCACGGCUAAUUCCGUGCCAGCAGCCGCGGUAAUCUGAUGGCGCGAGG